Long non-coding RNA from Sinocyclocheilus grahami, 3799 nucleotides. RefSeq lists it as uncharacterized. The transcript has 2 exons. NCBI's taxonomy places the organism in Eukaryota, Metazoa, Chordata, Actinopteri, Cypriniformes, Cyprinidae. The record is from RefSeq and is a predicted model, not a curated record.
UUAAAAGAGUACAUAAAUUACAAGUUGAAUAAAUAUUACACAGUGAUAUUCACUUUCUUAAUAAUUUGAGAUUUUUUUUUUCAUUUUAUUGUUUUUUAAUAGAGUUCCAAAAUGCUGAACAUUUUUAGAGUCCUCCAGCCACUAAUGGGUCUUUUUCACAUGCCAGUUUAAGCCACAUUUAGGUGGUCAAUCAUCAAGUCUUUUCUCAUCCACAAAAAAAAGAAAGAAAAGACUGUUAUGCAUUCAGAGAAAUAAAGAAAAUCUGUCGUUUCUACUGAAGUGCGAGUUAUGAACUCUGCUGUCUACCCAAGUAUGAGAUUCGGAAUCUGAUGAAAGCAGAUAAGCACAAAAGCAACAUGCUGCGUCCUGGCAAUCGAUUGUCUGUUACCUCUAAUUACAAAUCAGAAUGGAUCAAAAUCACAUUAAUGACAUUUCUUUCCCAUUCUCACAGUGACACCCAGAUGGAUUAUAUGACCUGGGGAAACAAGGUAAAAUGGUUUUCAGCCAUAGUGCAUCGUCUUUUAACAUUCAGGGUUUUCGGAUAAACAAUUUUUUGACUCGUUGCAUGACUGCUCAUCAGAUUCCGAGACUGUCCGUCUACAAAUUCUACUGUGAAGUGUGAAGCACUGCAAAAAUGAGUAUUUAUGUCUGGUUUUUCAGUUCAAAUAUCUAGACGUUCUUAAAAAAAACAAUUGACUUGAGAAUCAAAAGACAAGACUCGUUUUCAGAGAAUUUGUCUUGAAUUAUAGGAAGAUUCUAGCUGUUUUUAAUCAAUGACGUUCUUUCUUCCAUGGAACACAAAUUUAGAGUAGGAUAUCAAAGCUGCACUUUUCCUCAAAAUGAAAGUGAAUGGUUAUCACGGUUGUCAAGCAAGAUUUUCAAGGCAAGGUUUUGAAUUAAUAACAAACUGAAUUACAUUCCUCACACAAAGUGCUCCUACAGCUUUGAAUGUGUUUCAUAAUUUCUUAUUGUGCAUCUUUUGGUGCUUGACAGACCCUAUAGAAGUGAGCAGCUUGGAUAUUUUACUAACCUUCUCCUUUGGCGCUUCACAGAAUAAAGUAAGUCAAAGUUGUUUGAAACAUAAAGAUGAGUACAUGAAUUUUAGUUCAAACUAUACUUUGAAAUAGUUUUUUCUUACCCUAUGGGCAAACGUGUCCAUAAAUGUUCUGAAAACAACUCAUUAUCUUGCAUACUUUUGCUUUUUAAGUAAAUUCAAUUAGCUUUAAAGGAGUUCAGAUGACUUUACUGGAAAACAAGACACAAAUACUGAUAAAGAAGUGUGUGUUGUGAAAGGAGGCCCAGCUCAAGAUCACCGCUUGAGGCUCUCACCCGCUCUCCUUCUUCCCGGAUAUCACUGAGAUGCAAAGUCUAUCAAGAGUAGAUGGAGAAUAGACUGUGAUUGGUAGAUUUGUGUUACUGGUAAACCCACUGAAUGAUGAUGCGGGUCUCAGGCUUGGGCUGCAAAGCCCCUGUCAAAGGUACUCAGGCAGGGUAUCUGUCCGAGGCCUGCUCCUGCUCCUAUACCUGAACUGAGAUUCACUUUGAAACGGCACUAAUCGCGUGGCAAGGUAAGGAAUUAAGUGCAAGCUGCUUUUUUAAAUGGGGGAGGGGGCUUUCGGCAUGGAUCAGGACCUGGAUAAUGCUGAUUACUGAUUUUGCCCGGUGGUGACCGACACCUACAAGGCUAAUUGUGCAAUAACAGAGGCGACUAGGCCGCCAUGACGUACUCAAGACAUCUGCAAAAGUCUGGUUAACCCGCACGCCUUGAACUCACUCUUUCUCUUUCAUGCCACCUUCCAUUCGAGAGCCAAUUGUCAUUCGCAAAUCUUUUUUGACAUGCAGCGGUUAGAUUUUGCGGACCCGUGGUUAUUUCGAAUCACAGCCAGGCCCACACGGAAUCUUCAUGCAUGGAAUUCCACAAAAUUGGAACGCCCGGCAUUCACAAAUUCCUACGCUGGCAAAUUUGACUGUGCUUUCAGCUACCAAUUAGAACAUAGUUCUCAAAGCUCCAUGUCUAAAAUAAGGAAAAUGCGUGAUUUCUGUCCGGGCCUGGUUAUGAUGGGUAUUAACAUGUUAGAGAUCUGGAGAGAUGCAGCUCUACAGGGUAUGGUGUUAGCGACUAUUUUUACAGCCCCCUCCCAACAGUGAAACUCUGAUCAUUCGGGCCCUGAAAUAAGAUCUGGACGGACCCAUUGUGGCAUGGAAAUGGCUUCACUCACUCUUCAAGUGCCGACCGGUGAGUAUCCCUGUGUGAUGUAUAGCUUGAUUGGAAAUACUCUCGUCAGCAAUUACACACAUUUGCAGUCUCUGUCAAAUCGAUCGUCAGCUUAUUCGUAAGAGAAAUAACAGUAAAUGAGCUAGCGCUAGCUGGACUACGGUCUCACCCUAUCUCAGCCUCGGCGCAGGGAGAGACUUCUGAUAGCUGCUUGACAUACAAUGUAGUAUAACGGAUUUCAUAUCUAAUCUGAUGCUGUAUUUGAACGCAACUGAGGUCCUUCGUCAAUAUAAAAACGUCUUAUCGUUCCCCUUGGCUACUGUGUAACGUUUACGUCACCAAUCAAAUGUAUUUGCAUGUAGGAAGGCACUGAGAAACUCACACUGAACGACGCUGUAGUGAAACGCGCCUUCUGUUUCCACCGUGGAUAAUAACAUCGAUGAAAUACAGGAAUACAAAUGAAACGUGUCAUCGUGCUGACCAAAAGAGCUAUUACCUAUUGGUGAACAGUCAAAGUGGGCGGGGCUUAAAAAGUGGUCUGACCUGCAUUCAAAUGAGCAAGUUGUCAUUGUGACAGGUCAGAUGGAAAUAUGCAAAUUGAUAAUGCUAACACUCCACUGCUGAGCAUCUGAUCACUGUGGUUGUUUGUUAAGGAUAACGUAACAAAAAAAGAAAAGUAAAAAAAAAAACAUUCAAUAAUCUAGAGUUAAAGGUAACAUACCGAGGUUGCACCUAUUUCAGUGAAACCACAUGGUCGAGGAACAUGGCUCAUAAGUGGACUGUCAUUACCUCCAUGAAGUCAAAGGAAACGGCACAUAACAAAAGUUAUUCAGAAAAGAAAAACAAAACAUUACAGGCAGAAAGAAACUACCGUUCUGCACGGUGAACGUCUGUCAAAGUUCAAACGCAAAUGCUAGGAACGUUUAAGGGUUACAGCAUCUGUCUUGAUUUUAGCUCGGCCCAGAUGCCACAAUAUAUGAUACAAAAAUAUUCCAGAGUGGCCUUUUCUUUUCUAGGCGUGGGCACUGAUUGAUUCUGUGUGGACUUUUUUUUCUCAUUCGGGACCCCGUGUAACUGCGUGGCAGCGUCUGUUUACAUAGGCACGGUUGGCAUGUUAGGCUACAAAGUCUGGAGCCACUGAAACAGAUUUGUCUAAUGGGAUCCUGGUUUUCUUUCACAACGUUCUGGGAGGGAUAUGCCACAAAGACAAAAAAAAAACUAUUUUUUUGAAGCUAUCGCCAUAUUUCAUUGCUCACACGCAUACACUGAACUUGGUGAAGUUACACAUUUCCAAGCAGGUUCCCCAAUGAAUAAGUGCUCUGACAGGACCAAAAAAAAAAAAAGCCAGAUAGAGAUGACUGUAUGACAUGUGUUUUCCAUUCUUUCUUCUCUUUUGGAAAACAACACUUUUUUUUUUUCAAAUAGUAAAAGUUUCUGCUAUCUCCUUUGAUACCUUGACAGCAAAAGAUGUAAAAGACCAAGAUAGCCCUGUUAAUAUUCAACAUGCCAUAUAUUCUUUUUUUUUGUAUUUUGUUUUAUGUUAACUUUAAACAAAACAGUAUGGUGCUCAAACCCCAGCUUCUA